CGGAUAAUCUACCCUUAGGUUUGGAUAACCCCGGGUAAACGGGGGAUAAUAUCGGAUAUUUCAAGGCUGCUGGAAUGCACUUUGAUUAAAAGCUCCGGCGCCUAAGGAUGAGUCUGCGGCCUAUCAGGUAGUAGUGGGUGUAAAGUACCUACUAGCCAGUGACAGGUACGGGUUGUGAGAGCAAGAUCCCGGAGAUGGAUUCUGAGACACGAAUCCAGGCCCUACGGGGUGCAGCAGGCGCGAAACCUUUACAAUGCGCGAAAGCGCGAUAAGGGAACCCUGAGUGCCAGCACACAGUGUUGGCUGUCCAACUGUUCAAAAAACAGCUGAUAGCAAGGGCCGGGCAAGACCGGUGCCAGCCGCCGCGGUAACACCGGCGGCCCGAGUGGUAACCGAUUUAUUGGGCUUAAAGCGUUCGUAGCCGGUUUGGAAAGUCUCUUAGGAAAUCUGGCAGCUUAACUGCUAGGCGUCUAAGAGAUACUGUUAAACUUGGGACCGGGAGAGGUAGGAGGUACUCCAUGGGUAGGGGUGAAAUCUUGUAAUCCUUGGAGGACCAUCGAUGGCGAAGGCAUCCUACCAGAACGGGUCCGACGGUGAGGGACGAAAGCUGGGGGCACAAACCGGAUUAGAUACCCGGGUAGUCCCAGCUGUAAACGAUGCUCGCUAGGUGUCGGGUACGGUGCGUCCGUAUUCGGUGCCGUAGGGAAACCGCGAAGCGAGCCGCCUGGGAAGUACGGUCGCAAGGCUGAAACUUAAAGGAAUUGGCGGGGGAGCACUACAACGGGUGGAGCCUGCGGUUUAAUUGGAUUCAACGCCGGAAAACUCACCAGACCAGACAGCAGUAUGAAGGUCAGGCUGAAGACCUUACCUGAUCCGCUGAGAGGAGGUGCAUGGCCGUCGUCAGUUCGUACUGUGAAGCAUCCUGUUAAGUCAGGUAACGAGCGAGACCCGUGCCUACAGUUGCCAGCAGCUUCGCAAGAAGGAUGGGCACACUGUAGGGACCGCCGUCGCUAAGACGGAGGAAGGCGCGGGCAACGGUAGGUCAGUAUGCCCCGAAUGGUCCGGGCUACACGCGGGCUACAUGGCUGGGACAAUGGGCACCUACCCCG
RNAcentral lists this ribosomal RNA (1109 nucleotides) under uncultured archaeon. RNAcentral's name for it is "bacterial SSU rRNA". It matches the Rfam family "Archaeal small subunit ribosomal RNA", at positions 101 to 1213 of the family's 1478-position model. The record is from RNAcentral.